AGUGAACGCUGGCGGUAGGCCUAACGCAUGCAAGUCGAACGGCAGCACAGUAAGAGCUUGCUCUUACGGGUGGCGAGUGGCGGACGGGUGAGGAAUACAUCGGAAUCUACUUUUUCGUGGGGGAUAACGUAGGGAAACUUACGCUAAUACCGCAUACGACCUACGGGUGAAAGCAGGGGAUCUUCGGACCUUGCGCGAUUGAAUGAGCCGAUGUCGGAUUAGCUAGUUGGCGGGGUAAAGGCCCACCAAGGCGACGAUCCGUAGCUGGUCUGAGAGGAUGAUCGGCCACACUGGAACUGAGACACGGUCCAGACUCCUACGGGAGGCAGCAGUGGGGAAUAUUGGACAAUGGGCGCAAGCCUGAUCCAGCCAUACCGCGUGGGUGAAGAAGGCCUUCGGGUUGUAAAGCCCUUUUGUUGGGAAAGAAAAGCAGCAGGUUAAUACCCCGCUGUUCUGACGGUACCCAAAGAAUAAGCACCGGCUAACUUCGUG
RNAcentral lists this ribosomal RNA (492 nucleotides) under uncultured bacterium. Its description in RNAcentral is "partial 16S ribosomal RNA". It matches the Rfam family "Bacterial small subunit ribosomal RNA", at positions 29 to 507 of the family's 1533-position model. The record is from RNAcentral.